This 1266-nucleotide ribosomal RNA is filed under the name Triticum aestivum (bread wheat). RNAcentral's name for it is "partial small subunit ribosomal RNA". The record is from RNAcentral. Lineage: Eukaryota; Viridiplantae; Streptophyta; Magnoliopsida; Poales; Poaceae.
AUGGCGAACAAGAUACAACAUACAAGUGCAACGACAAGGGAGUUUACACUCGAGUUAUUGAAACAAAUUACAGAUAACUUUUCUGAGGAGCAUGUCAUUGGUCGUGGUGGGUAUGGAGUAGUCUAUAAGGGAUUACUGCACGAUGGAGAAGAGGUUGCUCUCAAAAAGCUUCACUACAUGCCUGGGCUUGACGACAAGCAAUUUAUGAACGAAUUUAAUAACCUUAUGAGGGCCCAGCAUCCAAAUAUCAUCCGAUUAGUGGGCUACUGCUAUGGUCUAGGACAUGAACGCUUCAAGUACAAUGGUGAAUAUAUUUUUGCCCGUGUACAAGAAAGGAUUCUCUGCUUUGAAUAUUUGCAGGGUGGAAGCCUUGAUAAGCAUAUUUCUGAUGAAUCCUGCGGACUCGAUUGGAACACACGCUUCAAAAUUAUUAAGGGAAUUAGCAAGGGAAUAAAUUAUCUUCAUAAUGGAUGCAAAGAUUCUAUUUACCAUCUUGACUUGAAACCUGAGAAUAUAUUGCUAGACGAGAACCUGGUCCCGAAAAUUGGAGAUUUUGGUUUGUCAAGACUUUUCCAAACAGAAAAAACGCAUAUCACAACCAAAUUUAUGGGAACAAUGGGAUACAUGCCACCAGAAUUCAUCGAUAGACAUGCAAUCACACCAAAGUUUGAUGUAUUCAGCUUUGGUGUUAUAAUCAUUCGGAUAGUGGCAGGAUUUGAGGGCUAUUCCAAAUGUGAAGAUAUGUCUCCUCAUGAAUUUCUUGAGCAUGUACAUGGAAACUGGAGAAAGCGGAUGCAGGAAACAAUGUCAUCGCAUAUAUCAGAGCAAGUUAUAACAUGCAUUGAAAUAGCGUUUAGGUGUGUGGAGUUCGACCCAGAGAAAAGGCCUACCAUAGCGGAUAUUGUCAAUGAAGUGGAUAAGAUCGAUAAUGCCGAAAGUUUAGCUAUAGCCAAGAACUCAGACGAACAGGAGCACACUGUAGAAAAACAACCGGUGAUUCAAGUACAAGAAAAAAAUAGUACGGAAGAGAAUACCAGAUACGCGAGAACGGAUUCCAUUUCUACUGUCAUGAAAAAGCACCCUUUAUCGAAAAAGUAUUACACAGCAGACCCAGUCGUUGCAAUUGGUGCCAUGGUGGUCUCCCUGCUCCACAAGCUGUGCGAGCUCUCUAGUGAAUACAACCUGGGAGCGAACUUGAAGAAAGAUGAGCACCUUCAAGGGAACUGGAGAACCUUUGUGAUGCGGUGGAUAACAUCGAUUUUAUGA